Molecule: non-coding RNA, 68 nt
Organism: Potamilus streckersoni
Lineage: Eukaryota; Metazoa; Mollusca; Bivalvia; Unionida; Unionidae
Source: the annotation of a GenBank genome assembly
GGUGACCUAGUGGUUAGAGCGUCUGCCUCUGAUGCGGGAGGUUGUGGGUUCGAUUCACGGGUGAGUCA